AUCUGGUGCUGGGGACACUUGUGCAACAAGUUCUUGAACCGUUCCCAAUACUCAUAGAGCGACUCUCCUGGAUGCUGUUUGAUCCCACAAAUUUCUUUCCUUAGACU
Molecule: small nucleolar RNA, 107 nt
Organism: Coffea eugenioides
Lineage: Eukaryota; Viridiplantae; Streptophyta; Magnoliopsida; Gentianales; Rubiaceae
Source: RefSeq, a predicted model, not a curated record